UAGGGGGAGGUUGGCUGCAUCACUGGUACUGAUGUAAUGGCUGUUCACAGUACCAGAAAUGCCGCUCCCUUCCCCCUACA
Non-coding RNA from Eptesicus fuscus (big brown bat), 80 nucleotides. Lineage: Eukaryota; Metazoa; Chordata; Mammalia; Chiroptera; Vespertilionidae. The record is from Rfam.